GGACCCAAGAAGAGCCUAACUAGAAGUUGUGAAGUUGCCCAUAAUCUCUGAGGAGCUUCAAGCACUCCCAUACAGCCAUCCUGUUUAGAAUAUCCUUGACCAGGGGAAAUGGGGCCAUAGAAAGCCCCCCUUGGGGGUUGGGGAUUUAGCUCAGUGGUAGAGCGCUUGCCUAGGAAGCGCAAGGCCCUGGGUUUGGUCCCCAGCUCCGGAAAAAAAAAGAAAAGAAAAAAAAAAGAAAGCCCCCCUUUCUCUCUUCUCACUAACAUUAUCUUUGUAGACUCUGCCUAGUCCUGCCUCUAUUUUCUCUUCAGGCAUUUUGAACUUUUGAAGAAUGCCUCAUGUGUGCACAGAGGUUAGUCCCCUGAGGCCAACACACCACCUUCCAGUGCUUGCCUUAGCUACCAACCAUAGUGCCUCAGACUUUACGAAUGUUUAAGGGGCAGUUAUAGUCUCCCUGGCUGCCAACAGGGGUUUCCAUAGGAAGGUCUGACUGCUAUGUAUGUUAGAUGAGAAAAAUCCUUCAAGAGCGUAUUCAGAGAGCUGUGUGGGUCUGGGUAUUAGGACUCCUCACCAUGGGAGCCUUUGGUAUAGAGAGACCCACAGUAGAUGUGGGCAGGGGCAAAGGUGGUGUGGUAAGGAGAAUGUCCCAGACAGAGGCACAAGUCUACCCCUCAAUGCUAUGAGUUCUGCUUGGUGCCUAGACUUCAUCUCAAGAGUCCUGCCUGCUUGCCUGUUGCAAAGAGUCCAAGUAAACUGUUCUCACCACCAGCCUGCUUCAGACGCCAGCUGCAUUCAUCCGUCAGGAAAAAGGAGGCCAAGUUCUAGCCUUGGGCCUACAGGUCCCCCCACCAGCUACAUGUCAUCAGCAGGUUCUUCCCGUUUCCUGACAUCUUGGACUGGUGGUCUCUCCCCACUCUCCUUAACCCAGAUGAUGAAGGAUUUUGCUCAGUAAUUGGCAAUGUUGUUAGUAUAAGAAUUUCCCCCAGAAUGCAGGUUUAUUAUUGCUGUUGUUCUUCUUGUUGUCAAGACAGACUUUAGCUGUGUAAACACAGAUGGUCCCUUAAGCCCUGAGACUGCAGUUGUGUGCAAUUGCACCCAGCAAAAGGAAAGAAUUCACCUAUGGCAUGGCUCUGGGUUCCUCAAGCUGGAGUAUUUCCAAGCAAGCACUUUCAUUUUUAACGUCUGCAGUUCUAUGGAUGGAACCCUGGGCCCUGUGCACGGGCACAGCCAUGUUGUCACUGAGUCACACCCCCAGUCCUCAGGGCUCAAAGACAAUGGGGGGGGGGCGGUAGAGCAUGAAGAGGAGUAGUUAUAAGGUCUGUGUACCAGAAUCACCUCUCUCUCAGGGUCCUUGGAUACUUCUGGAUAAUCUGGGAGGUACCAGUUAAUUUCUUUAGAGGACUUGGAAAAAAAAAAAUCCAAGACUGUCUACAGAAAUAAGAGCAGUUUAAGUUUACCCCACCCCCAAGGAAAAGAUAUGCAAAGUGAGGGUGAGCCUACAGACAGCCAUGGGUACCUCGUGCCUAGCCUUGGGCUCUCAGCCCAGGUGCCCAAGGGCUGUGUCUGGAUGAUAGCUUUAGUUCUUGCCUGGUGUGCUUUUGGGAAACAGUGACAUUGAUAACACCUUUAGAGUCAUGGAGAGUUUUAGAUGGCGCUGCAAAGAUACUCAGUUAGGAGAGGGAAGUCUAAAAAUAGUUCCCAGAGAGGGCUCUUGAGGCCAUCUCCCCUGUUUUCCCUAUCUGUGUCGGACAGAGCAGCUGAGUACAGUCAUCCUCCCGGAGCAGGAGUGAAGAUGCUGUGUGGUAGACUGGGAAAGGGUCCAGAGACAGGACCUAGAGCUGGAGGCCAGAUCAAGUGAAGAGAUGGAAUCUUCCAGACCAGUGGUUCUCAAUGUUCCUAAUGCUGAGACCCUUCAGUACAGUUCCUCAUGUGAAAAUCUGAGAGGGAGAGCGAUGGCUAAUGACUCCUACACCUACAGAUGUUUCAGCAGGCUCUGUUGUCUGGUCCUUCAGAUUCAUUUGUUUGUUUGCUUUUGGAGACAGGGUUUCUCUUUGGAGUCCUGGCUGUCCUGGAACUUGCUGUGUAGACCAGGCUGGCCUCAAACUUCCUGAAUACUUGGAUUAAGGGCAUGUAUCACCAUGCCUGGCCUGUCUGAUUCGUCUGUAUCUGCCUCGUAAGGACAUCAAUGGCACCAGCUGCUGAACUCAGGAUGCCAAGAUACAUAACCUGAUUUUAUUUAGUCAUCGGCCAAGUUCUUCUGGAGCUGAGAGGUGCUCAACCGAUAGCUGGAGGAGCUCUCCCUCUAUUCCCUGAGUCAGAUGCCCUGGUGAGCAGGGACAGUCUCUGAAAUGUGUGGAGAAUCCAGGCUUUGCAGCGGCUUGUAUAUGCAGAUUUUGUGGAUGUAUGUGUGUGCACACUUGGUGUGUGUCUAGAGGCAACAUUGUGCCAUGAACUUGGCUGUACUUCCUCCACGCAGGAGAUGGGAUCUUGGCCUUGGCAGCGAGUGGGCGUACGUGUGGACUUGAGUCACAGUAGGCUCAGAAUCUGGGCUCAAGCAUCUGAAGGCCUGUCACCUGCAAGGCUCAUUAUAGAAGGGGCCAGGUGCUUGGAGUGUGCCCAAAGCCAUACUGACUGUGCUGUCAUGAGUUUGAAUAGUAUUCCUGUGAGAGCUAUAAAUAACAACUCUGAGCCCAAAGCCAGGGUUUUAGAAAGCCAUCCUUAAAUGCACAGUGCUUUACAGUCCCUGCUGUCCCUUCCCUGGGUGACUCAGCUCUCUAACCCAGUAGGCCCAGCCUGAUCCAGUAACCUUCAGGCUUGGCUAAAAAAGGAUAGAGCCAAAGCUGGUCUCAAGAACCCCAGUGAUCCCAUCAUCCAGUUACCAUGUGAGGUUUUGCUACUUUUUUUUUUUUUUGCCUCUGUUCCCUAGCGGAGACAUGGAUGAACAGGUCCUGUACCAAGAGGCAAGGGCACAGACGUUCCUAAUUGGUUGAUUCUCGGAAGCCUAUUCUAUGCAUUUGGGAUCACAAAAGGUUCUCCCAUCCUCAGAAUGGAUUGGCUCAGAUCCCAUUCCCUCUAAUCUCCAGUGUCCUGAAGCCACAGCACUCAGUCUUGGGAGUGGAAAUCCCAGGAUAAGGUCCUGCUAAAAGUAUGUUUUCCCCCUCACUCUCAGAUGUUUGGGCCAGUAGGAGAAAUAGAAAUGAAGAUAAUUUUCACUUUGGCUUAAGAAAUGACUACUCGAGGUCUGGAGAGAUGGCCUAGUGGUUAAAAGUACUAGCUGUUCUUCCAAAGAAUCCAGGUUUGAUUCUCAGCAGACUACAACAGUGUAUAACUACAGUUCCAGGGGAUCUGACUCUCUCUGGCCUUCGUGGGUACCAGGCAUGUAUGUGACUCGCAGACAUACAAGCAGACAAAACAAACCAUGUGCAUAGAAUAAAUAAUUAAAAAAAAAAGCACCCACGUCUAGUGCCUCAAAUGGCUGAAUAGAGUAUCAGAUGGCAAUAGGCUUAAACCUGGAGGUAAAGGUAUCGUGGGAGGCAGUGAGCUAGACACAGAGCUAGAUAUUGGAUUCUCUCAGCCCCACCCUCCACACCCGUGCCUGCUUUCUUUCUCCAAGUCUUUACUAGGCUCUUAGGACAACACUGUCUGAAGGAACAGCUGAAGGUUCAGAGGGUGCAUGGAAAGGCCAAAGGGUUUUUUUUUCAUUUUCUUCUUUUCUUUUUUAAGACUUCCAGGAGUGUGCAGAGUGCUGGCUUGGCCUUUUAGCCACAUGCCUUACCCCCGCUUGGAGCUCAGCGGUGUUUUUAUGCCAAGGCCCAUACACCUGGCUGUUCAAGCAGAAGGAAAAAAAAAUCCAUCAUUCAGGGUUGUUUUAAAAAUAGUGUAACUCUUUGAUUAAAUGGCCAAACAGCCCUGAGUCAAGGUUUCUUUGCUCUAGCCUGUGAUUUGUUCAACUGACCUAAUUUUAGUAUAGGGCUCUAAAUCUAAGAGGAAUGCAAUGAGGGUAACGAUUCCUUAAAUUGGUCAUGAAGUGUUGUCAUUCAACAUGCAUCGAUUAAGCCUGUGUGUGUGUGUUUGCAUACAUGUGUUUCCUUAUAUGUGUAUCCUCAAAAGCCUUCAGCUGCAAUAACACUUUAUGAUGCUGUCACCUAAAUUCUGGGUACAUGUUGUCCUAUGCUGACACUAAUAAACAAUCCUACACACACAGACAUACAUAUAAACAUAACACACACACACACACACACACACACACACACACACACACACACACACACUUCCUUGUACUCCAAACCCAUAGGGACCAACUUUAUAAAGGACAGAGAACAGAAUGUCUUAGUCACUCUCUACCUCAAGUCAUGGCCUCUCUGCCUGCCGUGGCCUGGCUUUGGUGGAUUCUGAGAACUUCCUCUAUACACUCACCCAGGCUUGGGAAGUUUCUAGUUCUCUGCUGCUUC
Rattus norvegicus (Norway rat) is the source of this 4451-nucleotide long non-coding RNA. RefSeq lists it as uncharacterized. The record is from RefSeq and is a predicted model, not a curated record. Lineage: Eukaryota; Metazoa; Chordata; Mammalia; Rodentia; Muridae.